AUGGUGAGUGCUGGAAAGAUUUAUCGGUGGGGGAUGGACUCGCGGCCUAUCAGUUUGUUGGUGAGGUGAUGGCUCACCAAGACGAUGACGGGUAGCCGGCCUGAGAGGGCGACCGGCCACACUGGGACUGAGACACGGCCCAGACUCCUACGGGAGGCAGCAGUGGGGAAUAUUGCACAAUGGGCGAAAGCCUGAUGCAGCGACGCCGCGUGGGGGAUGACGGCCUUCGGGUUGUAAACCCCUUUCAGUAGGGAAGAAGCGAGAGUGACGGUACCUGCAGAAGAAGCGCCGGCUAACUACGUGCCAGCAGCCGCGGUAAUACGUAGGGCGCAAGCGUUGUCCGGAAUUAUUGGGCGUAAAGAGCUUGUAGGUGGCUUGUCGCGUCUGCCGUGAAAACCCGAGGCUCAACCUCGGGCGUGCGGUGGGUACGGGCAGGCUAGAGUGUGGUAGGGGAGACUGGAACUCCUGGUGUAGCGGUGAAAUGCGCAGAUAUCAGGAAGAACACCGAUGGCGAAGGC
RNAcentral lists this ribosomal RNA (518 nucleotides) under Brachybacterium sp. RNAcentral describes it as "bacterial SSU rRNA". It matches the Rfam family "Bacterial small subunit ribosomal RNA", at positions 189 to 722 of the family's 1533-position model. Lineage: Bacteria; Bacillati; Actinomycetota; Actinomycetes; Micrococcales; Dermabacteraceae. The record is from RNAcentral.